Zingiber officinale is the source of this 107-nucleotide small nucleolar RNA. The record is from RefSeq and is a predicted model, not a curated record. Lineage: Eukaryota; Viridiplantae; Streptophyta; Magnoliopsida; Zingiberales; Zingiberaceae.
AGUCCAUCAUGGGGGUAUUGUUGUAACAACCUCUUGAAUCUAUCCAUGCAUCAAACAAGGUUUCUCCUUCCCUUUUCUGCAAAGCUUAUGAUUUGGUUUCUAUGAUG